Molecule: non-coding RNA, 45 nt
Filed under: Schistosoma haematobium
Lineage: Eukaryota; Metazoa; Platyhelminthes; Trematoda; Strigeidida; Schistosomatidae
Source: RNAcentral
AUUCAGCCGACGAGUUCCAAAUAGGACAAAGCGCGAGUCCUGGAU